AUUGAACGCUGGCGGCAUGCCUUACACAUGCAAGUCGAACGGCAGCGGGGGAGAAGCUUGCUUUUCCUGCCGGCGAGUGGCGAACGGGUGAGUAAUACAUCGGAACGUGCCCUGUAGUGGGGGAUAACUAGUCGAAAGAUUAGCUAAUACCGCAUACGACCUGAGGGUGAAAGGGGGGGACCGCAAGGCCUCAUGUUAUAGGAGCGGCCGAUGUCUGAUUAGCGAUGUGGUGGGGUAAAGGCCUACCAAGGCGACGGUCAGUAGCUGGUCUGCGAGGACAAUCAGCAACACUGGGACUGAGACACGGACCAGGCUCCUACGGGAGGCAGCAGUGGGGAAUUUUGGACAAUGGGCGAAAGCCUGAUCCAGCAAUGCCGCGUGUGUGAAGAAGGCCUUCGGGUUGUAAAGCACUUUUGUCCGGAAAGAAAUGGCUCUGGUUAAUACCUGGGGUCGAUGACGGUACCGGAAGAAUAAGGACCGGCUAACUACGUGCCAGCAGCCGCAGUAA
Molecule: ribosomal RNA, 508 nt
Filed under: uncultured bacterium
Lineage: Bacteria
Description: partial 16S ribosomal RNA
Rfam family: Bacterial small subunit ribosomal RNA
Source: RNAcentral